This 432-nucleotide ribosomal RNA is filed under the name uncultured bacterium. RNAcentral describes it as "partial 16S ribosomal RNA". It matches the Rfam family "Bacterial small subunit ribosomal RNA", at positions 29 to 507 of the family's 1533-position model. The record is from RNAcentral.
ACGAACGCUGGCGGCAUGCCUAACACAUGCCAGUCGAACGAGACCUUCGGGUCUAGUGGCGCACGGGUGCGUAACGCGUGGGAAUCUGCCCUUGGGUUCGGAAUAACAGUUGGAAACGACUGCUAAUACCGGAUGAUGACGUAAGUCCAAAGAUUUAUCGCCCAAGGAUGAGCCCGCGUAGGAUUAGCUAGUUGGUGAGGUAAAGGCUCACCAAGGCGACGAUCCUUAGCUGGUCUGAGAGGAUGAUCAGCCACACUGGGACUGAGACACGGCCCAGACUCCUACGGGAGGCAGCAGUGGGGAAUAUUGGACAAUGGGCGAAAGCCUGAUCCAGCAAUGCCGCGUGAGUGAUGAAGGCCUUAGGGUUGUAAAGCUCUUUUAACCGGGAUGAUAAUGACAGUACCGGGAGAAUAAGCUCCGGCUAACUCCGUG